GGGAGGAAAGGGAAACUUUCAAUAUCAAGACUCUUCUUUAACAUUCAAGGGGGAAAUGGAAACAGCCAACAUGAAAGCCAGAUUUCCCAGGAAGAAGUCAGACUGAAGUCAUGGUGUGCCCUUAACUACAGUGGAAGACUCUGAAGGAUUCCACAAAGCCUGUUGAAGCACUUACCUCUUGACUUGAGGAGAAGGUGGAAGUACCCUUCUUGCCUAACUCAGUCAUGUGGGUACACCUAUGCAUGGGAGGCUGGGAAAUGAAGUUUAGCUACGUGCCUGUGAGGAAGAGAAAAUAGGCUUGAAUCGAUGCUCUUUGAGUUGACAUCCAAGGACCUUAAUGGAAUAGCAGUUCUCAACCAUGGUGCCUCCAAACCACAAAUCUAGGCAGAUGAAGCUGGUGCCUGAGUUCGAGUGUCACGUGGAGAGCUGCUUGGCCUCCCCACAGAGGGACCUGUCCUCAACGUCUCUGCCUGAAGUCAGCCUUCCGGGAAGGAACAUGGACCAUUCUUACAAGACAGACUUCUCCAGUUUUGAACCAGA
Balaenoptera ricei (Rice's whale) is the source of this 540-nucleotide long non-coding RNA. RefSeq lists it as uncharacterized. The record is from RefSeq and is a predicted model, not a curated record. The transcript is spliced from 5 exons. Lineage: Eukaryota; Metazoa; Chordata; Mammalia; Artiodactyla; Balaenopteridae.